RNAcentral lists this non-coding RNA (218 nucleotides) under Rhizobium sp. BK456. Lineage: Bacteria; Pseudomonadati; Pseudomonadota; Alphaproteobacteria; Hyphomicrobiales; Rhizobiaceae. The record is from RNAcentral.
CGACGCCCUUCCGGCAAAGGCGCAGCCCGCCAGCCGGAAGCGAGUCUUGCAUGGACGGCGGCGACGUCGUUCGUGAAGCGUAGACAGCGGAUGCUGAAGCCUUGGGUUAGCCCCGAAAUCAUGUAGUUUCUGAGAGCCUUCGGUCUGUUGGGCCCGGGGGCAGCAGCGGCGGAAUCACUAGGGCGAGAUUCUGCCGGCUCGGCCGGGGUCUUGGAACA